CAACUCGGCUGCAUGAAGCUGGAAUCGCUAGUAAUCGCAGAUCAGAAUGCUGCGGUGAAUACGUUCCCGGGUCUUGUACACACCGCCCGUCACACCAUGGGAGUUGGGAAUGCCCGAAGCCGGUGGCCUAACCGCAAGGGAGGAGCUGUCGAAGGCAGGCCCGAUAACUGGGGUGAAGUCGUAACAAGGUAUC
RNAcentral lists this ribosomal RNA (193 nucleotides) under uncultured bacterium. RNAcentral's name for it is "partial 16S ribosomal RNA". It matches the Rfam family "Bacterial small subunit ribosomal RNA", at positions 1308 to 1500 of the family's 1533-position model. The record is from RNAcentral.